GACGAACGCUGGCGGCGUGCUUAACACAUGCAAGUCGAACGGAAAGGCCCUGCUUUUGUGGGGUGCUCGAGUGGCGAACGGGUGAGUAACACGUGAGUAACCUGCCCUUGACUUUGGGAUAACUUCAGGAAACUGGGGCUAAUACCGGAUAGGAGCUCCUGCUGCAUGGUGGUGGUUGGAAAGUUUCGGCGGUUGGGGAUGGACUCGCGGCUUAUCAGCUUGUUGGUGGGGUAGUGGCUUACCAAGGCUUUGACGGGUAGCCGGCCUGAGAGGGUGACCGGCCAAAUUGGGACUGAGAUACGGCCCAGACUCCAACGGGAGGAAGCAGUGGGGAAUAUUGCACAAUGGGCGGAAGCCUGAUGAAGAAACGCCGCGUGCGGGAUGACGGCCUUCGGGUUGUAAACCGAUUUCGCCUGUGACGAAGCGUGAGUGACGGUAAUGGGUAAAGAAGCACCGGCUAACUACGUG
This 468-nucleotide ribosomal RNA is filed under the name uncultured bacterium. Its description in RNAcentral is "partial 16S ribosomal RNA". It matches the Rfam family "Bacterial small subunit ribosomal RNA", at positions 28 to 507 of the family's 1533-position model. The record is from RNAcentral.